Small nucleolar RNA from Jaculus jaculus (lesser Egyptian jerboa), 129 nucleotides. RefSeq annotates it as small nucleolar RNA SNORA33. The transcript has a single exon. The record is from RefSeq and is a predicted model, not a curated record. NCBI's taxonomy places the organism in Eukaryota, Metazoa, Chordata, Mammalia, Rodentia, Dipodidae.
AAACCAGCCAAGUGGUCUGCUUAUCUGAAUGUGUUUCUGCAGAAAUGAAGAAAAGCUAAGCUGGCAAUAGUGAUGCCACGUUAUGAGCCUUAAGGACAACUGUUAAGGUCCCUGAAAAUGGCUACAAUA